CCUACGUGUGGCAGCAGUGAGGAAUAUUGGUCAAUGGACGCAAGUCUGAACCAGCCAUGCCGCGUGAAGGAAGACGGCCCUAUGGGUUGUAAACUGCUUUUGUAUGGGGGUAAAUGCCGUUACGCGUACAUUUCUGAAAGUCUCGUACGAAUAAGGAUCGGCUAACUCCGUGCCAGCAGCCGCGGUAAUACGGAGGAUUCAAGCGUUAUCCGGAUUUAUUGGGGUUAAAGGGUGCGUAGGCGGUUGGAUAAGUCAGAGGUGAAAUCCUGAGGCUCAACUUUGGAAGUGCAGUUGAUACUGGUAGGCUUGAGAGUAGUAGAGGUAGGCGGAAUGCAUGGUGUAGCGGUGAAAUGCUUAGAGAUCAGGAAGAACACCGAUUGCGAAGGCAGCUUACUAGACUGCAACUGACGUUGAGGCUCGAAAGCGUGGGUAGCAAACAGGAUUAGAGACCCCAGUAGUC
RNAcentral lists this ribosomal RNA (460 nucleotides) under uncultured bacterium. RNAcentral's name for it is "partial 16S ribosomal RNA". It matches the Rfam family "Bacterial small subunit ribosomal RNA", at positions 338 to 795 of the family's 1533-position model. The record is from RNAcentral.